Felis catus (domestic cat) is the source of this 963-nucleotide long non-coding RNA. RefSeq lists it as uncharacterized. The transcript has 8 exons. The record is from RefSeq and is a predicted model, not a curated record. Lineage: Eukaryota; Metazoa; Chordata; Mammalia; Carnivora; Felidae.
CGACAUUCCCUUGGGUCACAGAUUUUCCUGAUGAUUUACUCCUUUGAAGUCACUUAAGCUUAAGGCUAAUGCUGAGGACUUAAGAGAUUUAAACAAGCAAUGCAUUUCCUGAGGGUUUUUUUUCCCCCCAGAUACAAUCUUGUACAACAACAUUAUCCAAUGGGUGUUGGCUGAGCUUCCUAAGGUACUUUGUCACAGCACCAGUCAAUACACAGCCAUUCCGCCUAAGAGAAGGUUAAGAAGAUAAUUGGCAAUGCCGUCAGGAGGUUUGGCUGUCUUCUGAAAUUCCCUGGGCCAGUGAUGGGUGACAGUAACCACCCAGUUGCACAAACUUCAAAUCCAGGUUUCUGUUAAAGUGCAUUCUUGAUGAGGUUGCUGAAGUAUUCAAUUAACCAUUCCUCAGACUACAAUACAUCUGAACUUCCAGGAAUAUGACUUACUAAGGUUACUAUUGUAAAAAAGUGGAAAGCUUUUCAGAUCGAUGUCAUACAUUUAAUUAUCUCAUAUCUUGAUCAAGAACUGCCCUUACAAGUAUAGGAGACUGUUGAGGCUCACAUUGUGCUUGCUGAACAAUCAUACGCGGUGUGCAAAGCAGAGAGAGAUUAAGCGACAUACCCUCUUGAUGUACUGUACCACCUCCUGGAUGUAUGACCGGAUCAUCUCUGUCUUUUCCCUAAGAGCAAAUGACAACUAGAUCAUUAUAUGAACUCAUCCAGCAUCAACAAAGAGAACCUAUGGAAACUUUUGCGAUUACUCAGACAGCGGUAGUAAUUGGACUCAACCCUUCUUACUGGAGCACCACGUAGACAGUGUGGGCUUCCUAUGAAAGACCCCACUGCUGUUCACCCGUGAUGGAGACUCUCAAAUACAACUGGCUUGAGAGGCCUGUUCAUAACUCCGAUCCACAACCAAAGAUAGAACUGACACUUCUGGGUGCUUCUCGGUCAAGAGAUUUCCUGGCAG